AGGUGAUUAGGCGUGACAUGGCUAGAAUGCGGGUUUCCGAGGACAUGACCCUUGACAGGAAAGUCUGGAGGUCUAGUAACAGGGUUGUAGGAUAGGGGCUCGUAGAUUUGUUUUUUGUACCCCUCACCCGGGGUUGGGUGAGGCUUGGCAGGGCUAUCCAUAGAUGAUUUGCGUUUUGGAGUGUGUCUCCCUUAUGGUAGUUAUUUAUGGUAGUUACUGUAUGAUAUUAUUGCAUGCUAUUUUAUUUAUGGUUCUUAUGUUUAGAUAAUUAUUUACGCUAUUUCUA
This 286-nucleotide long non-coding RNA is filed under the name Nicotiana benthamiana. RNAcentral's name for it is "long non-coding RNA (NBEN_LNC028585)". Lineage: Eukaryota; Viridiplantae; Streptophyta; Magnoliopsida; Solanales; Solanaceae. The record is from RNAcentral.